Molecule: ribosomal RNA, 275 nt
Filed under: uncultured bacterium
Lineage: Bacteria
Description: partial 16S ribosomal RNA
Rfam family: Bacterial small subunit ribosomal RNA
Source: RNAcentral
AUACGGAGGGUGCAAGCGUUAUCCGGAAUUAUUGGGUUUAAAGGGUCCGUAGGCGGCUAGAUAAGUCAGUGGUGAAAUUCUCUCGCUCAACGAGAGACCUGCCAUUGAUACUGUCUUGGCUAGAGUUACAGUGAGGUGAGUGGAAUGUGUGGUGUAGCGGUGAAAUGCAUAGAUAUCACACAGAACACCGAUUGCGAAGGCAGCUCACUAACUGUAUACUGACGCUGAUGGACGAAAGCGUGGGGAGCAAACAGGAUUAGAAACCCCGGUAGUCC